GGUCGCUCAGUGGUAGAGUACUUGCCUUGCAUGCAUGAGACCCUGGGUUCAAUUCCUAAGCACCA
Molecule: transfer RNA, 65 nt
Filed under: Dipodomys ordii (Ord's kangaroo rat)
Lineage: Eukaryota; Metazoa; Chordata; Mammalia; Rodentia; Heteromyidae
Rfam family: tRNA
About the family: Transfer RNA (tRNA) molecules are approximately 80 nucleotides in length. Their secondary structure includes four short double-helical elements and three loops (D, anti-codon, and T loops).
Source: Rfam by way of RNAcentral